RNAcentral lists this ribosomal RNA (449 nucleotides) under uncultured prokaryote. RNAcentral's name for it is "bacterial SSU rRNA". It matches the Rfam family "Bacterial small subunit ribosomal RNA", at positions 355 to 796 of the family's 1533-position model. The record is from RNAcentral.
UAGGGAAUCUUGGGCAAUGGGCGAAAGCCUGACCCAGCCAUGCCGCGUGUGUGAAGAAGGCCUUAGGGUUGUAAAGCACUUUCAGCAGCGAAGAAAUGCAGCGGGUUAAUACCCCGCUGUCUUGACGUUAACUGCAGAAGAAGCACCGGCUAACUCCGUGCCAGCAGCCGCGGUAAUACGGAGGGUGCAAACGUUAAUCGGAAUUACUGGGCGUAAAGCGCGCGUAGGCGGAUCGGUAAGUGGGAUGUGAAAGCCCCGGGCUUAACCUGGGAACUGCAUUCCAAACUGCCGGCCUAGAGUAUGGUAGAGGGAGGUGGAAUUUCCUGUGUAGCGGUGAAAUGCGUAGAUAUAGGAAGGAACACCAGUGGCGAAGGCGGCCUCCUGGACCAAUACUGACGCUGAGGUGCGAAAGCGUGGGGAGCAAACAGGAUUAGAUACCCCCGUAGUCC